RNAcentral lists this long non-coding RNA (1088 nucleotides) under Ursus maritimus (polar bear). RNAcentral's name for it is "lncRNA (ENSUMAG00000002297.1)". Lineage: Eukaryota; Metazoa; Chordata; Mammalia; Carnivora; Ursidae. The record is from RNAcentral.
AGCCGAGCUGAUUUCACGUGCUGGUGUUCAGAGCUGUUUGCUGUUUCUCAUUCCAGCAUCUUCAGCCGCUGGAGGUGAGCAGGUUUCUGGCUCUGAGUCCGAAGCACGAGGAAGGACUUGGCAGGACCCUAUUUUUUGCUACCUCCGCAGUCAGCUGUAGGCAAUAUCCAGAUUUGAGCUGUGGGAAACUUCCAUCAGGAGCUCUUAUUAACCUUGGCCAAUCUUCCUGCAUUAAGUUGGAAAUGUGAGAAACAUACCAGGCCCACGGAGAGUGAGAAGGAAAGGGAGAGAGACAAGGAAUGGACCCUGUUGUCCAAGAAUCUCCAAAUGGGCAUGGUUCUGCCUUGGAACCACUCGCUCCAGCCACACGAGGAAGCCGUGGUGGGCCACGGAACAUCUCCAGAGGUUCAGGCCUGCCUCCAGUGGUUUCUCACUGGGCACUCACAUUUUAAGAGCACGUACCGCUCCUCUCGUGUGUCUUCUAUUAACCUCCAAUUAACAUCGCAGUCCGGACUAGCCUCAUACAAAUCAAACAGGUCUCUCCUGCAUUUUACCCACAGAGGUGCUCGGUGCCUUGCCUCUCCCGGGCCUCAGGAGGCCACAGAUGCCUUCAGCACCCAGGCCUGCCCAUGGUGGGCCAAGAGGAGGGCAGGCUGUUUCUCCAUAUGCACUCCAUACCAUACCGACCAUACCAACCAGGGCCCAGUGCAAGGUGCGAGGCAGGAGCUUGGAAGCAGGGUUAGGACACCAUGGCGGGGACAAAGCAGGAUGCCACCCCACCCCCUGCGAUUUCUCCAUCCCAUCCUCCCUCCCUUUCCAAGUCCUGCUGGCCUCCUUCCAUUCACUGCACCUCCACUCAGCUUGUGCUCCCUCUGCCUGUCCCCUCACUUCCCCCUCCUUCUCAUUCAGUGCCCCUCUGCCUCUGUGUGGCCUCCCUCUUUUUUCUCUGUCUCCGACCUGUGGUCCGCCUCUAUUCACGGUGUCAGCCCAGCCUCUCUCGCUGCUUCUUUCUGCCUCCCCACCCCCCACAUGCUCCCCUACGCCGGGCCUUUCAUCCACAAGACCCUGACCUCUGCACAGUGUUGGCU